This 309-nucleotide ribosomal RNA is filed under the name Paenibacillus sp. Expt2_481F6_P25C_H09. Its description in RNAcentral is "bacterial SSU rRNA". It matches the Rfam family "Bacterial small subunit ribosomal RNA", at positions 1054 to 1363 of the family's 1533-position model. The record is from RNAcentral. Lineage: Bacteria; Bacillati; Bacillota; Bacilli; Caryophanales; Paenibacillaceae.
GUCAGCUCGUGUCGUGAGAUGUUGGGUUAAGUCCCGCAACGAGCGCAACCCUUGAUCUUAGUUGCCAGCAUUUCGGAUGGGCACUCUAAGGUGACUGCCGGUGACAAACCGGAGGAAGGUGGGGAUGACGUCAAAUCAUCAUGCCCCUUAUGACCUGGGCUACACACGUACUACAAUGGCCGGUACAACGGGCCGCGAAGCCGCGAGGUGGAGCUAAUCCUAAAAAGCCGGUCUCAGUUCGGAUUGUAGGCUGCAACUCGCCUACAUGAAGUCGGAAUUGCUAGUAAUCGCGGAUCAGCAUGCCGCGGU